AGUGAACGCUGGCGGCGUGCCUAAUACAUGCAAGUCGAACGGAGAUUCAGUAGCUUGCUAUUUAAUCUUAGUGGCGCACGGGUGAGUAAUAUAUAGCUAACUUGCCCAUUACUAGGGGACAACAGUUGGAAACGACUGCUAAUACCUUAUACUCCGUAUCUAUAUAAGUAGAUACGGGAAAGUUUUUCGGUAAUGUAUAGGGCUAUAUCGUAUCAGCUAGUUGGUAAGGUAAUGGCUUACCAAGGCUAUGACGCGUAACUGGUCUGAGAGGAUGAUCAGUCACACUGGAACUGAGACACGGUCCAGACUCCUACGGGAGGCAGCAGUAGGGAAUAUUGAUCAAUGGGGGAAACCCUGAAGCAGCAACGCCGCGGGGAGGAUGACACUUUUCGGAGCGUAAACUCCUUUUCUUGGGAAAGAAUUAUGACGGUAACCAAGGAAUAAGCACCGGCUAACUCCGUG
RNAcentral lists this ribosomal RNA (462 nucleotides) under uncultured bacterium. RNAcentral's name for it is "partial 16S ribosomal RNA". It matches the Rfam family "Bacterial small subunit ribosomal RNA", at positions 29 to 507 of the family's 1533-position model. The record is from RNAcentral.